Cloeon dipterum is the source of this 671-nucleotide long non-coding RNA. RefSeq lists it as uncharacterized. The record is from RefSeq and is a predicted model, not a curated record. The transcript is spliced from 4 exons. Lineage: Eukaryota; Metazoa; Arthropoda; Insecta; Ephemeroptera; Baetidae.
CCUAACUCGCUCCAACAGUGAAAAAAGGUCACAGACCUGAUCACAUCAAGAAAAAAGAAAAAAUCCUUGAAGUGCUUGGUUGGUUUAUUACCUCACCCCACAAUCUAUUUCUCCCUUACUUCUGCGAAAUCCCAGCAUAUUCUUAAUUCCAUACAUAAAAUGUUCAAAGAAUUCUCCUUCGUCUUGAGAGUGAAUCUGUGGGCCACAUAAGCUUUCUGCCAGCUCUCUCACCAGGUCUUCCCUUCGAAUUUUUAACGCCGUAUCUCGUUCAUCAUUUUUUACGAGUGAUAGACUUCCAGCAAUGGCGGAGGGAGGACAGCAAGGCCCAGGGAAUGGACCUAAUGCUCCUAACCAGGGAGUAAAUGGCGAUUGGCGAGUAACGUUCCAGCCAGCACUCAGAAAUAAUAAUGCUGUUAGACUAAUUGAUGCUAUCCAUCCAUUGGGUCCCCAUGAUGACCCAGAAAGCAUCGCUUUUGUUUAUAUAUGCAACUAUGCCAGAAGAAUUGAAACAGUAAUUUUUGAAAUGGCGCGUAGUGAGGACCAUUAUGACCAAUUGAUUCAAAAUAUGACUCACAUUUUCGCAUCGUCGCGGGAAACUCAAGAAGGUCAAGACGAACAAAUAUUAGCAUUACAAGACGAAGGACAAGAAUGAGCUAAAUGAAAUAAAAAAG